AUUGAACGCUGGCGGCAGGCCUAACACAUGCAAGUCGAGCGGCAGCACGGGAGCUUGCUCCUGGUGGCGAGCGGCGGACGGGUGAGGAACACGUGGGAAUCUACCUAUUGGUGGGGGAUAACUUGGGGAAACUCAAGGUAAUACCGCAUUAUCCCUACGGGGGAAAGCAGGGGACCUUCGGGCCUUGCGCCGAUAGAUGAGCCCGCGUCGGAUUAGCUAGUUGGUAGGGUAAAGGCCUACCAAGGCGACGAUCCGUAGCUGGUCUGAGAGGAUGAUCAGCCACACUGGGACUGAGACACGGCCCAGACUCCUNACGGGAGGCAGCAGUGGGGAAUAUUGGACAAUGGGGGCAACCCUGAUCCAGCCAUGCCGCGUGUGUGAAGAAGGCCUUAGGGUUGUAAAGCACUUUCAGUGGGGAGGAAGGCUUCUGGCUAAUAACCGUGGAGUACUUGACGUUACCCACAGAAGAAGCACCGCUAAUUU
Molecule: ribosomal RNA, 483 nt
Filed under: uncultured bacterium
Lineage: Bacteria
Description: bacterial SSU rRNA
Rfam family: Bacterial small subunit ribosomal RNA
Source: RNAcentral